RNAcentral lists this ribosomal RNA (253 nucleotides) under uncultured bacterium. RNAcentral describes it as "partial 16S ribosomal RNA". It matches the Rfam family "Bacterial small subunit ribosomal RNA", at positions 524 to 776 of the family's 1533-position model. The record is from RNAcentral.
UACGUAGGGUGCGAGCGUUAAUCGGAAUUACUGGGCGUAAAGCGUGCGCAGGCGGUUCGUUGUGUCGGUGGUGAAAGCCCCGGGCUUAACCUGGGAAUGGCCAUGGAAACUGGCGAACUGGAGUGUGGCAGAGGGGGGUGGAAUUCCGCGUGUAGCAGUGAAAUGCGUAGAGAUGUGGAGGAACACCGAUGGCGAAGGCAGCCCCCUGGGCUGAGAUUGACGCUCAGGCACGAAAGCGUGGGGAGCAAACAGG